GCUGUGCGCACUUGAUGGGGGAUCCAUUAAAUGCGCACAGGUGGCCUUAAUGACACAAGCAGCAAAAUGGCGGCUGGCUGGCACGCGCGUUGACUCAGCUCAGCAAGUUUCUCACUUCGAAGGGCGAGAGCAGCGUUCCGGCGAAGGUUUGAGGGCGGAUGAGGAGACUGCCGGACGACGGGACGAGCGGAAGGAGAAAUUCAUCAGUGCGGGAGUCGAGCAGCACACGAGUUAGCUUGUUGGGGGGCAGAGUACUGGGCUUUGUGGCACACCUUGUGUAGCAGUCUGGCAAAUGUGUGAAAUGUUCAAUUGGUGUAGUUGGCGCGUGGAAAUGGUUAAUAGGGAUGACGGUUGGACGUCUCGGUGCAGUCGAGAGUUGUUUGCAGGAUCCUGCUUGAGUUGGUCGGCUAGUUGUGUGGCUCGUCUCCGUCCAGAGUAGUUUUGUGGGUGACUUUCGGCGGAAGAUGCGCCGACUGGAGCGAAGGGUGACACUGAAGAAGUCAAGGCGGAAGACGUGCAGAACCACGGGACGGGUCGGCCCAGGUAACGACGGCGCACAUCGACCAUUUUCUAUCACAGUUGCAGCGGAAUCGACCAGAAAAAGGAGGCGAGCGUUCAUUGAAGUGUUGAGUGGGAGGCGGCAAGCGUUGGAGGAGGUCUGCCAGAGAGCUUCGUGGCCUGGGUGAAGACGACGCGUGGCCAAGCAGCUCAACGGGGAAGGACAAAUUGUCUGGAGAAGACCCGGCACGGGUCAAUAAAAGACGUCAUCACCAGUGUGCCCCCCCCCCCCCAAGCAACCAUCCCGAAACAAAGUCGCCGACGCUCCAUUGCUUGCCGAGCCGAGCGCCAACUGGAGGGUUGUCAGAGGAGGUCAAGGGAAGACGCCACUCAAGCGGUUUGACCGAGGCGCCUGUGGACAAACAAAAGUGACCAGCAGGGGGCGGAGUACUGGACUUUGUGGGUGGUGGAAAUGCAGAAUCUGGCAACGCACCAGGGUCAGCGGUUCUUACAGACCAAUCAGAAUCAUCUCGAUGUAGUUUGCGUGGCUCAAGUGGACGGGGAGGCCGCAAGAGGAUUUUGGAUGCGGAGCUGUGCAAGUCCUGGAGGAGGAGUCGGCAGCAUUUUGGACCCCCCCCCCCCCCCAACCAAGUCUUUUGAGGUGUGGUGGAUUGGGCAAGAACACGGAAAUUGGACAAGGGUAAAAAGUCCUGACACAACAUCGUGAACUGAUCUUCACCAAACUAAUUGACCCCCCCCCCCCCUCAAGAAAGAAAAGUGGGAAUGUUCCACCGCUUCAAGAUCCAACUCCGAGGGAAGUGUCUUGCGACCACUUUUGCUGUUUGUCGUCACUCACUAAUUCACGGGGGGGUGUUUGCACCGACUCACAUUCUGAUUUUUGAACAUUAAUUUGGCCCUUCUGUAGCUAAGUGUGGAAUUUCAAGCUGUCAUCUGUCCCUAUUGGUCAAUGCCAGCUUUUUGCUUUCAGGGGCAGCGGCGGAUUGGGCAAGAACACAGAAAUUGGAGAAAGAUAAGUUAUGACUAUAACUAAUACAGUACACGUGACAUGUGAGUGGCGCGUUCCCAACGUGAUUCUUCCUCGUGUUGAUGACUCGGUGGAGUGCAGGAAUGCGGCCAGGAGAGGAAAAAAACGUACACGGCGACGCUGUCCAGUCGGGGUCCUCGAAGCCGCGUUCAACGUGCAAUUGUGCAGUCACGCCGACCUGAGGGAAGGAAGCUGCAAGUGGUGACCAGGAUGUGGACGCUGCAAGAGCAUUUUUGGAGGCAGGUCCUCAAGGGGGGG
This is a long non-coding RNA of Syngnathoides biaculeatus (alligator pipefish), 1801 nucleotides long. RefSeq lists it as uncharacterized. NCBI's taxonomy places the organism in Eukaryota, Metazoa, Chordata, Actinopteri, Syngnathiformes, Syngnathidae. The transcript has 10 exons. The record is from RefSeq and is a predicted model, not a curated record.